RNAcentral lists this ribosomal RNA (1960 nucleotides) under human gut metagenome. Its description in RNAcentral is "bacterial LSU rRNA". It matches the Rfam family "Bacterial large subunit ribosomal RNA", at positions 1 to 1984 of the family's 2925-position model. The record is from RNAcentral.
AUAAGUUACAAAGGGCGUACAGUGGAUGCCUAGGCACCGAAAGACGAAGAAGGACGCGACUACCUGCGAAAAGCUGUGGCGAGUUGGACGUAAACUUUGACCCGCAGAUGUCCGAAUGGGGAAACCCGAUAUGCUAACUACAUAUCAUACGAGCGGUGAAUACAUAGCCGCCGUAAGGCAACCCAGGGAAUUGAAACAUCUUAGUACCUGGAGGAAAAGAAAGAGAAUCGAUUCCGUCAGUAGCGGCGAGCGAAAGCGGAAGAGCCCAAACCAAGAAAUUGGGGUUCGGGGUUACAAAGAAUCAUGACGAAGAAGAAGAAGUGUUUGGAAUGGCACAUCUAAGAGGGUGAAAAUCCCGUAUUCGUAAGAGAGUCAUGGUCGUAACUACCAGAGUAGGGCGGGGCACGUGAAACCCUGUCUGAAUGAGCGGAGACCACUCCGUAAGGCUAAAUACUCUUCGGUGACCGAUAGUGAACCAGUACCGUGAGGGAAAGGUGAAAAGAACCCCGGGAGGGGAGUGAAAAGAAUCUGAAACUGUAUGCUUACAAGAUGUCAGAGACCGUUAAAGGUUGAUGACGUGCCUAUUGAAGAAUGAGCCGGCGAGUUAUGUAUACAUGCGAGGUUAAGGAGAAGAUCCGGAGCCGUAGCGAAAGCGAGUCUGAAUAGGGCGUUCAGUAUGUGUAUGUAGACCCGAAACCCGACGAUCUAGCCAUGAUCAAGAUGAAGUAAGGGUCAAACCUUAUGGAGGUCUGAACCGACGUUCGUUGAAACGACCGCGGAUGAAUUGUGGCUCGUGGUGAAAUUCCAAUCGAGUCGGGUAAUAGCUGGUUCUCCUCGAAAUAGCUUUAGGGCUAGCCUCAGAACACUACAUUUUGGAGGUAGAGCACUGAAUGAAAGCGAGCCGCGCCAAGCGGUAUCAAUUUCAAUCAAACUCCGAAUUCCGAGAUGCUUAUUCUGGGAGUCAGACUGUGGGAGAUAAGUUUCAUGGUCAAAAGGGCAACAGCCCGGACCGCCAACUAAGGUCCCUAAAUUCGCGCUAAGUGUUAAAGGAUGUAGAGAUACUUAAACAGCUAGGAUGUUGGCUCAGAGGCAGCCAUCAUUUAAAGAAUGCGUAACAGCUCACUAGUCAAGUGUCUCCGCGCCGAAAAUUUACCGGGGCUAAGCGCGAUACCGAAGUUGCGGAUAUUUCUAAAGAAAUGUGGUAGGGGAGCGUUCCAUUAGCAUAGAAGCCAUACCGGAAGGAGUGGUGGAGCGAAUGGAAGUGAGAAUGCCGGCGUAAGUAACGAUAAGAGGUGAGAAUCCUCUUCACCAUUUGACUAAGGUUUCCUGGGCUAGGUUCGUCCACCCAGGGUCAGUCGGGACCUAAGACGAGGCCGAAAGGCGUAGCCGAUGGACAACAGGUUGAUAUUCCUGUACCACCUCCUCACCAUUUGAGCAAUGGGGGGACGCAGGAGGAUAGGGUAAGCGCGGUAUUGGAUAUCCGCGUCCAAGCAGUUAGGCUGGGAAAUAGGCAAAUCCGUUUCCCGUAAGGCUGAGCUGUGAUGGCGAGCGAAAUAUAGUAGCGAAGUUCCUGAUUCCACACUGCCAAGAAAAGCCUCUAGCGAGGUGAGAGGUGCCCGUACCGCAAACCGACACAGGUAGGCGAGGAGAGAAUCCUAAGGUGAUCGAGAGAACUCUCGUUAAGGAACUCGGCAAAAUGACCCCGUAACUUCGGGAGAAGGGGUGCUCUGUUAGGGUGCAAGCCCGAGAGAGCCGCAGUGAAUAGGCCCAGGCGACUGUUUAGCAAAAACACAGGUCUCUGCGAAGCCGUAAGGCGAAGUAUAGGGGCUGACGCCUGCCCGGUGCUGGAAGGUUAAGAGGAGCGCUUAGCGUAAGCGAAGGUGCGAAUUGAAGCCCCAGUAAACGGCGGCCGUAACUAUAACGGUCCUAAGGUAGCGAAAUUCCUUGUCGGGUAAGUUCC